Molecule: ribosomal RNA, 1075 nt
Filed under: Demodex folliculorum
Lineage: Eukaryota; Metazoa; Arthropoda; Arachnida; Trombidiformes; Demodicidae
Description: 16S ribosomal RNA
Rfam family: Bacterial large subunit ribosomal RNA (bases 694-1000)
Source: RNAcentral
UGUCUCUAGCAAAAUAAAGGGUGAGAAUGUAUUUUUAGGCAUUAUUCUUUUUAUGGGAAAUUGAUGUUUGUUAUAUGUUUUUACUUGGUUUUUACCUUUUGUAUUAGGAAGAAAAGAUUACUUUUUUUAUUAUUUAGAGCGAAAUUAGUUGAGAUAACUCUUUCUUUUUAGAAGUGGAAUUUUGUUGGGGUUAAUUAUCAUAUGUAGUGGAACUAAUAUUCUCUUUCUCUGCGUUUUUAUCUAAUAUUAACUUAUUUUAGGUUAGGGGGAAAUGGAUAAGCUUUUCUUUUUACUUUUUAAAUUUAGUUUAAAAAGUUUUUAUUGUAUUUAUUUGGUUUGUUGUAAAAAUUUUUUAUUAUAGAAGUUGGUUUUUUGAAGUUAAUUGAUUAAGGAUGCUUUUAUUAAUUUUUCUAUUAGUAGCUUGGGAGUGGUGUUUUUAAUUUUGUUUUGUUUAUUUUGAAAUGGCGAAUUUUUUACUAAAGUUGUGCUUAACUGUUUAACAAAAUCUAAUUUUAUAUUUUUUAUUGAAGAUUUCUGCUCAGUGAAUUUUUAAAUAGCUGCGGUAUUUUGACUGUGCUAAGGUAGCGAAGUCAUUUGUUUCUUUAUUGGGAACUUGUAUGAGUGGAGUAAUGGGUGCUUUUAUGAAUUGAGCUUAAAGUGAAUUUGAUUUUUCUAAGAAAAGUUAGAAGUUUUCCUAAAGACGAGAAGACCCCAAAAUCUUUAUUUUAAUUUAUAGGAUUUAAUUUUUAUUUGGGGGAAAGAUUGAUCUUUAUUUAUUGUUUUAUUAUUGCGAACUUUUUUAGGGUGUAUGGAUAGAUACUUUGGGGGUAACAGGAUUAUUUUCUUUUGAAGUUCUUAUUUUAGGGGAAGUUUAUUACCUCGAUGUUGGCUUUUGAUUUUAGUUGGGGGUAGCUUUUCAAACUAAUAGUCUGUUCGACUAUUAAAAUUGAACAUGAGCUGAGUUCAAAUCGGCGUGAGCCAGAUUGGAUUUUAUCUUAGGAUAAUUAGAGGGUGUUUAGUACGAAAGGAUUGGCGUCUUUGGAGUUUCUAAAUUUUGGGCGAGUGGCUUGAGGAA